CUGGCUCAGGAUGAACGCUAGCGGCAGGCCUAAUACAUGCAAGUCGAACGGUAAGGCUCCUUCGGGAGUACACGAGUGGCGCACGGGUGCGUAACGCGUAUGCAACCUACCCUUUAGUGGGGGAUAGCCUGAAGAAAUUCAGAUUAAUACCCCAUAUUAUCCAGUCAUUGCAUAUUGAUUGGAUGAAAACUCCGGUGCUAAGGGAUGGGCAUGCGUGACAUUAGCUAGUUGGUGAGGUAAAGGCUCACCAAGGCUACGAUGUCUAGCUGGUCUGAGAGGAUGAUCAGCCACACUGGCACUGAGACACGGGCCAGACUCCUACGGGAGGCAGCAGUAGGGAAUAUUGGACAAUGGGCGCAAGCCUGAUCCAGCCAUGCCGCGUGGAGGAAGACGGUCCUCUGGAUUGUAAACUUCUUUUCUGGGGGACUAACUAUGUGCUAUAGGCACAUUUGCAGGUACCUUAGGAAUAAGCACCGGCUAACUACGUGCCAGCAGCCGCGGUAACACGUAGGGUGCAAGCGUUGUCCGGAUUUAUUGGGUUUAAAGGGUGCGCAGGCGGUUUGUUAAGUUUGUGGUGAAAGCGUCCCGCUUAACGGGAUACCCGCCAUGGAUACUGGCAGACUUGAGUAUGUCUGAGGGAAUUAGAAUGCGUGGUGUAGCGGUGAAAUGCAUAGAUAUCACGCAGAAUACCGAUUGCGAAGGCAGAUUUCUAAGACAUAACUGACGCUGAGGCACGAAAGCGUGGGGAGCGAACAGGAUUAGAUACCCUGGUAGUCCACGCUGUAAACGAUGAUCACUAGGUGUUCGUCCUUCGGGAUGAGUGCCCAAGCGAAAGCGAUAAGUGAUCCACCUGGGGAGUACGUUCGCAAGAAUGAAACUCAAAGGAAUUGACGGGGGCCCGCACAAGCGGUGGAGCAUGUGGUUUAAUUCGAUGAUACGCGAGGAACCUUACCUGGGCUAGAAUGCCUCUGACAGCCGGUGAAAGCUGGUUUUCCUUCGGGACAGAGUGCAAGGUGCUGCAUGGUUGUCGUCAGCUCGUGCCGUGAGGUGUUGGGUUAAGUCCCGCAACGAGCGCAACCCCUGUCCCUAGUUGCCAUCACUUCGGGUGGGGACUCUAGGGAGACUGCCUCCGCAAGGAGCGAGGAAGGCGGGGAUGACGUCAAAUCAUCAUGGCCCUUACGCCCAGGGCGACACACGUGCUACAAUGGACGGUACAGCGGGUAGCCAACUUGCAAAAGUCAGCCAAUCCCAAAAAGCCGUUCUCAGUUCGGAUUGGAGUCUGCAACUCGACUCCAUGAAGCCGGAAUCGCUAGUAAUCGUGGAUCAGCCAUGCCACGGUGAAUACGUUCCCGGGCCUUGUACACACCGCCCGUCAAGCCAUGGAAGCUGGGGGCACCUGAAGUCGGGGGUAACAACCCGCCUAGGGUGAAACUGUACUGGGGCUAAGUCGU
RNAcentral lists this ribosomal RNA (1451 nucleotides) under uncultured prokaryote. Its description in RNAcentral is "partial 16S ribosomal RNA". It matches the Rfam family "Bacterial small subunit ribosomal RNA". The record is from RNAcentral.